Xenia sp. Carnegie-2017 is the source of this 299-nucleotide long non-coding RNA. RefSeq lists it as uncharacterized. NCBI's taxonomy places the organism in Eukaryota, Metazoa, Cnidaria, Anthozoa, Malacalcyonacea, Xeniidae. The record is from RefSeq and is a predicted model, not a curated record. The transcript has 3 exons.
AAGGAAUGAAAAUAAAACAUUACUAAGGCAUCUCUAUGAAUUACUAUUCCACUGGAAUUCCGCCAUCUUUCUAUGUUCCAUUCCAUUUAGUCACGUGACUGUAAGGAAGUGUCAGUGAACUCCAUAACGUCAUCAAGAUGUUUUUACAUAAGGGAAUUGUUGACAGUAUAAAACAUUUUCUGUCUUUAAAGUGAUGGUCAAAUUUACAUAAUAAACGUACAGAAAUGAUCUCUCACAUUUUUCAACUAAUGACCAUAAAACCCAAUGACAUGACAUGACAUCAUGAUGGUGUUUUAUAA